CGGCGAACGGGUGAGGUAACACGUGAGGCAACCUGUCCCGAAGACCGGGAUAACACCGGGAAACCGGUGCUAAUACCGGAUGUCCCCACCAGGCCACAUGGUCCGGUGAGGAAAUGGAUUCCGCUUCGGGAGGGGCUCGCGGGCUAUCAGCUUGUUGGUGGGGUAACGGCCCACCAAGGCUACGACGGCUAGCUGGUCUGAGAGGAUGGCCAGCCACAUUGGGACUGAGAGACGGCCCAG
RNAcentral lists this ribosomal RNA (240 nucleotides) under uncultured bacterium. Its description in RNAcentral is "partial 16S ribosomal RNA". It matches the Rfam family "Bacterial small subunit ribosomal RNA", at positions 96 to 334 of the family's 1533-position model. The record is from RNAcentral.